RNAcentral lists this ribosomal RNA (382 nucleotides) under uncultured eukaryote. Its description in RNAcentral is "partial 18S ribosomal RNA". It matches the Rfam family "Eukaryotic small subunit ribosomal RNA", at positions 592 to 976 of the family's 1831-position model. The record is from RNAcentral.
UGUAAGCGUAUACCAAAGUUGUUGCAGUUAAAACGCUCGUAGUCGGAAUUUGGCAGUUCCGGAUGUGUGCACGUCGUGUGCGCACUUCGCGGGGAUUGCUUUUGUGGUCUUGCGUAGGAUGAGGCACUUUUAUUAGUGAACGUCCUCACGCAACCACUUUUUACUGUGAGAAAAUCAGAGUGCUCAAAGCAGGCAUUUGCCGUGAAUGUAUUAGCAUGGUAUAAUAGAAUAGGACUUGGUUCUAUUUUGUUGGUUUGUUGGGACUGAGUAAUGAUUAAGAGGGACAGUUGGGGGCAUUUGUAUUUCGGUGCUAGAGGUGAAAUUCUUAGAUUACCGAAAGACAAACUGCUGCGAAAGCGUCUGCCAAGGAUGUUUUCAUUGA